GCCAUUCAACAGGGAACAAGCCUCGCCCC
This 29-nucleotide non-coding RNA is filed under the name Mus musculus (house mouse). The record is from RNAcentral. Lineage: Eukaryota; Metazoa; Chordata; Mammalia; Rodentia; Muridae.